Molecule: long non-coding RNA, 1211 nt
Organism: Amaranthus tricolor (Joseph's coat)
Lineage: Eukaryota; Viridiplantae; Streptophyta; Magnoliopsida; Caryophyllales; Amaranthaceae
Exons: 4
Source: RefSeq, a predicted model, not a curated record
CGACAAGACUGGCAACAGGGUACAACUUUUGUACUUGACGUUGCUUGAUGCACCAUGGGAGGUCAUCUUCGGUUACAGCUGGGGUUCAGCAGCCCUAGCUUAUCUUUAUAGAAGAUUGUGUGAAGCUUCACGGAAGAACGUGAAAGAUAUCGCUGGGCCCUUGAUUAUUCUGCAGCUUUGGGCGUGGGAGCACAUUCUUAUUGGUCAACCGAUGAGGAGUGUGGGACGUGGUGCAUAUGCGCCACCAAUUCUUCCACCCCCAUAUGUGUCAUAUGGAUCGUGGUUGUCCUUUGAAAGACGUACAAGGACCCACACAGGAUCGGGCGUGGGGUUCUAACGCGAUCAACUCGAUCUACUUCGAGCUGACCAGUUUCGAUGGGACCCUUACCCCGCUGAGGCAUACGCUGCUUUGCCUCAGCAUUCAGGAUUAUUGUUAGGGGCGUGGAGAGCAUCUGUACCUUUGAUUUGCUUUGACAUAGUCGAAGUGCAUCUUCCUGAGCGCGUACUGCGACAAUUUGGGAUGGUACAGGGUAUCCCGCCGCCCUGUGACACAGAGGCGGAGCUCCAUCACAGCUCACGCAAGGGUUGGGAUCCCAAGAACGGGCUCGAGAUCAACUGGUGCCAUGUCGCUCGUUGGAAGCACAGGCUAGAGCUACUGGCCCAAGGUGCGCCGAUCGAGGCUAUAGGCGCACCUACUUCGCCGAAUUACAUGCCGUGGUUCCUCUCCAUUAGUCGUCGAUGAAUGACACCACGAGGUAUCAUCACGGCAGCCCAGUACGCUCCCGCAGCACCGACGAUGGCACACUUUGCACAGGGCAUUGCAUCUGUCAUCAGCUCCACCCAAGAGGAGCCUGUACGGGAGAUUGCCCAAGGCAUACUCCUAGGGACGCAGUUUUAGCACUUCAUUCCAGAAGUGACUGUGCCCGACACCACUAUGUACAAGUACGGGUCAUCUCCUCAUCAUGCCAACGUUCAUCUUGAGGAGGUUGACUUAACGUGCCCCGACUAUGGUGCCGGGUCCUCGCAAGGUGCUACAUCAUCACAGUAUCAAUCACCUCCCCUACCCGAGCGUCAUGCGACGGCCUCUUACUAUCGUAGGAGGCGUCGUAAACCGUCACAGUUAGACAAGGUACAGGAGGAGGAUUAACAUUAGAAUUCUGUUUGUAUAUAUUGAACAUUAGUGGCAUUUUGUAUAUAUUGAACAUUUGUAC